AACGAACGCUGGCGGCAUGCCUAACACAUGCAAGUCGAACGAGACCUUCGGGAGUAGGGGCGCACGGGGGCGUAACGCGUGGGAACCUGCCCUUAGGGUCGGAAUAACUCCCCGAAAGGGGUGCCAAUACCGGAUAAUGUCUUCGGACGAAAGAUUUUUCGCCUUUGGAGGGGCCAGCGUUGCAUUAGCUAGUUGGUAGGGUAAAAGACUACUAAGGCGACCAUCCAUAGCUGGUCUGAGAGGAUGAUCAGCCACACUGGGACUGAGAAACGGCCCAGACUCCUACGGGAUGCAGCAGUGGGGAAUAUUGGACAAUGGGCGAAAGCAUGAUCCAGCAAUGCCGCGUGAGUGAUGAAGGCCUUAGGGUUGUAAAGCUCUUUUACCCGGGAUGAUAAUGACAGUACCGGGAGAAUAAGCUCCGGCUAACUCCGUG
RNAcentral lists this ribosomal RNA (433 nucleotides) under uncultured bacterium. Its description in RNAcentral is "partial 16S ribosomal RNA". It matches the Rfam family "Bacterial small subunit ribosomal RNA", at positions 29 to 507 of the family's 1533-position model. The record is from RNAcentral.